AGCAACAUUUCAGGGAACUGGAGCCCUCUUCUCAUUUGGCAGAUGUUUCGGCAAAUUAUUUUUCUGCUGCAUAUCUGGAGAAAAGUGGCCAUAGCGAAAUCCUGCAACUUCAAUGUUCAUUUCUGCAGUGUCCCAAGAGUUAAGAAACAUUUUACUCCAGCACAAGAGGAGCCAAGAUGGCAGAACAGCAUGGAAGUUUUCUGUGUGUCUCGAAUCCAUGAAAUACAGCCAGGCCAACACUAAACCAUCCUGCACACCUAGAAAACUGAUUGGAGGAUUAACACAAACAAUCUGCACAAC
This is a long non-coding RNA of Neofelis nebulosa (Clouded leopard), 300 nucleotides long. RefSeq lists it as uncharacterized. The transcript has 3 exons. Lineage: Eukaryota; Metazoa; Chordata; Mammalia; Carnivora; Felidae. The record is from RefSeq and is a predicted model, not a curated record.